This 443-nucleotide ribosomal RNA is filed under the name uncultured bacterium. Its description in RNAcentral is "partial 16S ribosomal RNA". It matches the Rfam family "Bacterial small subunit ribosomal RNA", at positions 338 to 795 of the family's 1533-position model. The record is from RNAcentral.
CCUACGGGGUGCAGCAGUGGGGAAUAUUGGGCAAUGGGCGCAAGCCUGACCCAGCAACGCCGCGUGAAGGAAGAAGGCCUUCGGGUUGUAAACUUCUUUUUUCAGGGACGAAGAAAGUGACGGUACCUGACGAAUAAGCCUCGGCUAACUACGAGCCAGCAGCCGCGGUAAUACGUAGGUGGCAAGCGUUAUCCGGAUUUACGGGGUGUAAAGGGGGUGUAGGCGGGUGAGUAAGUCAGACGUGAAAUUCCAGGGCUCAACCCUGGAACUGCGUUUGAAACUGUACUUCUUGAGUGAUGGAGAGGCAGGCGGAAUUCCGUGUGUAGCGGUGAAAUGCGUAGAUAUACGGAGGAACACCAGUGGCGAAGGCGGCCUGCUGGACAUUAACUGACGCUGAGGCGCGAAAGCGUGGGGAGCAAACAGGAUUAGAUACCCCAGUAGUC